RNAcentral lists this ribosomal RNA (1405 nucleotides) under uncultured bacterium. Its description in RNAcentral is "16S ribosomal RNA". It matches the Rfam family "Bacterial small subunit ribosomal RNA". The record is from RNAcentral.
UUCGCCCUUAGAGUUUGAUCCUGGCUCAGGACGAACGCUGGCGGCGUGCUUAACACAUGCAAGUCGAACGAGAAUCUACGGAUCGAGGAUUCGUCCAAGUGAAGUAGAGGACAGUGGCGGACGGGUGAGUAACGCGUGAGGAACCUGCCUUUCAGAGGGGGACAACAGUUGGAAACGACUGCUAAUACCGCAUGACACAUUGGGGUCGCAUGGCCCUGAUGUCAAAGAUUUAUCGCUGAAAGAUGGCCUCGCGUCUGAUUAGCUAGUUGGUGAGGUAACGGCCCACCAAGGCGACGAUCAGUAGCCGGACUGAGAGGUUGACCGGCCACAUUGGGACUGAGAUACGGCCCAGACUCCUACGGGAGGCAGCAGUGGGGAAUAUUGGGCAAUGGGCGCAAGCCUGACCCAGCAACGCCGCGUGAAGGAAGAAGGCUUUCGGGUUGUAAACUUCUUUUGUCAGGGACGAGUAGAAGACGGUACCUGACGAAUAAGCCACGGCUAACUACGUGCCAGCAGCCGCGGUAAUACGUAGGUGGCAAGCGUUGUCCGGAUUUACUGGGCGUAAAGGGCGCGUAGGCGGACUGUCAAGUCAGUCGUGAAAUACCGGGGCUUAACCCCGGGGCUGCGAUUGAAACUGACAGCCUUGAGUAUCGGAGAGGAAAGCGGAAUUCCUAGUGUAGCGGUGAAAUGCGUAGAUAUUAGGAGGAACACCAGUGGCGAAGGCGGCUUUCUGGACGACAACUGACGCUGAGGCGCGAAAGUGUGGGGAGCAAACAGGAUUAGAUACCCUGGUAGUCCACACCGUAAACGAUGGAUACUUAGGGUGUAGGAGGUUAUCGCCCCUUUCUGGCCGCCAGUUAACACAAUAAGUAUCCCCCUGGGGGAGUACGACCCGCAAGGUUGAAACUCAAAGGAAUUGACGGGGGCCCGCACAAGCAGUGGAGUAUGUGGUUUAAUUGGAAGCAACGCGAAGAACCUUACCUGGGCUUGACAUCCCUGGAAUCGAGUAGAGAUACUUGAGUGCCUUCGGGAAUCAGGUGACAGGUGGUGCAUGGUUGUCGUCAGCUCGUGUCGUGAGAUGUUGGGUUAAGUCCCGCAACGAGCGCAACCCCUAUUGUCAGUUGCCAUCAUUAAGUUGGGCACUCUGGCGAGACUGCCGGUGACAAAUCGGAGGAAGGUGGGGACGACGUCAAAUCAUCAUGCCCCUUAUGACCUGGGCUACACACGUACUACAAUGGCAGUCAUACAGAGGGAAGCAAAACCGCGAGGUGGAGCAAAUCCCUAAAAGCUGUCCCAGUUCAGAUUGCAGGCUGCAACCCGCCUGCAUGAAGUCGGAAUUGCUAGUAAUCGCGGAUCAGCAUGCCGCGGUGAAUACGUUCCCGGGCCUUGCACUCACCGCCCGUCA